This 1438-nucleotide ribosomal RNA is filed under the name metagenome. Its description in RNAcentral is "bacterial SSU rRNA". It matches the Rfam family "Archaeal small subunit ribosomal RNA". The record is from RNAcentral.
ACCCGUUGAUCCUGCGGGAGAUUGCUGCUAUUGGAGUUCGAUUUAGCCAUGCAAGUCGAGGGAGCCUUUCGGGGCGACCGGCAUAAGGCUGAGUAACACGUCAGUAACUUGCCCUAUAGUCUGGAAUAGCCUCGGGAAACUGAGGGUAAGACCGGAUAGGAACUUAUACCUGGAAUGGUUUUGUUCUUAAAGAUUACGCUGUAGGAUAGGCUGGCGGCUGAUUAGGUAGAUGGCGGGGUAACGGCCCACCAUGCCGACGAUCAGUAUGGGUCAUGAGAGUGAUAGCCCACAGAGGGACACUGAGAUACUGGUCCCAGCCCUACGGGGUGCAGCAGGCGCGAAACCUUUACAAUGCACGCAAGUGUGAUAAGGGAACUCCAAGUGCUUAUACAUUGUAUAGGCUUUUUUUAAGAGUAAAUAUCUUAGAGAAUAAGUGGUGGGAAAGACUGGUGCCAGCAGCCGCGGUAACACCAGCGCCACGAGUGGCAAUCGGCUUUAUUGGGUCUAAAGCGUCCGUAGUCGGUUUGAUCAAUCUUUUGUGAAAUCGCCAAGCUUAACUUGGCGGCGUGCGGGAGAUAUUGUCAAACUAGGGACCGGGAGGAGUUAGAAGUAUUCUUGAGGGAGCGGUAAAAUGUGAUAAUCUCAAGCAGACUACCUGUGGCAAAGGCGUCUAACUAGAACGGAUCUGACGAUGAGGGACGAAGGCUAGGGGAGCAAACCGGAUUAGAUACCCGAGUAGUCCUAGCAGUAAACGCUGUGAGCUAGGUGUUGCAAAUCUUUCGAGGAUUUGCAGUGUCGUAGAGAAGUCGUUAAGCUCACCACCUGGGAAGUACGGUCGCAAGACUGAAACUUAAAGGAAUUGGCGGGGGAGCACUACAAGGGGUGCGGCGUGCUGUUUAAUCUAACUCAACGCAGAGAAUCUCACCAGCAGCGACGGCAAGAUGAAGGUCAGUCUAAAGGGCUUACUAGAUGAGCCGAGAGGUAGUGCAUGGCCGUCGUCAGCUCGUGCCGUAAGGUGUCCUGUUAAGUCAGGCAACGAGCGAGACCUGUGCUUACAAUUGCCAGCAAGUCCUUCGGGAUGAUUGGGCACUUUGUAGGGACUGCCUUGGAAACAAGGAGGAAGGUGCAGGCAACGGUAGGUCUGUAUGCUCCGAAUCUGCUGGGCUACAAGCGCGCAACAAUGGUAAGGACAAUGGGAUGCUACUCCGAAAGGAGACGCUAACCCUCUAAACCUUAUCUCAGUCUAGAUCGUGGGUUGGAACUCACCCACGUGACAGCGGAAUCCCUAGUAAUCGGUUUUCAUCAUAGACCGGUGAAUAUGUCCCUGCUCCUUGCACACACCGCCCGUCAAACCACUCGAGCAGAGUUGCGGUGAGCCCUGGUUUUUUGAUCAGGUCGAACCGUGUCUCAGUGAGAUGGGUUAAGUCGUCACAAGGUA